Molecule: ribosomal RNA, 502 nt
Filed under: uncultured bacterium
Lineage: Bacteria
Description: partial 16S ribosomal RNA
Rfam family: Bacterial small subunit ribosomal RNA
Source: RNAcentral
GAUGAACGCUAGCGGCAGGCCUAACACAUGCAAGUCGAGGGGCAGCACAGAAACAGCAAUGUUUUGGUGGCGACCGGCGGACGGGUGCGUAACGCGUAUGCAACCUACCUUUAACAGGGGGAUAACGGAGAGAAAUUUCCACUAAUACCCCAUAACAUCGAACAAGGCAUCUUGAUUGGUUGAAAACUCCGGUGGUUAAAGAUGGGCAUGCGUUGUAUUAGGUAGUUGGUGAGGUAAUGGCUCACCAAGCCUACGAUACAUAGGGGGACUGAGAGGUUAGCCCCCCACACGGGUACUGAGACACGGACCAGACUCCUACGGGAGGCAGCAGUGAGGAAUAUUGGUCAAUGGGGGCAACCCUGAACCAGCCAUGCCGCGUGCAGGAAGACGGCUCUAUGAGUUGUAAACUGCUUUUAAACAGGGAUAAAGCACAGUAUGUAUACUGUGUUGAAGGUACUGUAAGAAUAAGGAUCGGCUAACUCCGUGCCAGCAGCCGCAGUAA